GACGAACGCUGGCGGCGUGCUUAACACAUGCAAGUCGAGCGGUAAGGCCCUUUCGGGGGUACACGAGCGGCGAACGGGUGAGUAACACGUGGGUGACCUGCCUUUAGCUCUGGGAUAAGCCUGGGAAACUGGGUCUAAUACCGGAUAUGACCCUAUGGCGCAUGUUGUGGGGUGGAAAGCCUUGUGCGGCUAGGGAUGGGCCCGCGGCCUAUCAGCUUGUUGGUGGGGUGAUGGCCUACCAAGGCGACGACGGGUAGCCGGCCUGAGAGGGCGACCGGCCACACUGGGACUGAGACACGGCCCAGACUCCUACGGGAGGCAGCAGUGGGGAAUCUUGCGCAAUGGGCGAAAGCCUGACGCAGCGACGCCGCGUGAGGGAUGACGGCCU
This 388-nucleotide ribosomal RNA is filed under the name uncultured bacterium. RNAcentral's name for it is "bacterial SSU rRNA". It matches the Rfam family "Bacterial small subunit ribosomal RNA", at positions 28 to 417 of the family's 1533-position model. The record is from RNAcentral.